UCCCAGACUCCUACGGGAGGCAGCAGUGGGGAAUAUUGCACAAUGGGGGGAACCCUGAUGCAGCGACGCCGCGUGAGUGAAGAAGUAUUUCGGUAUGUAAAGCUCUAUCAGCAGGGAAGAAGAUGACGGUACCUGACUAAGAAGCCCCGGCUAACUACGUGCCAGCAGCCGCGGUAAUACGGAGGAUGCGAGCGUUAUCCGGAUUUAUUGGGUUUAAAGGGUGCGUAGGCGGAAUGCCAAGUCAGCGGUAAAAUCGCGGGGCUAAACCUCGCUCCGCCGUUGAAACUGGCGUUCUUGAGUGGGCGAGAAGUAUGCGGAAUGCGUGGUGUAGCGGUGAAAUGCAUAGAUAUCGCGCAGAACUCCGAUUGCGAAGGCAGCAUGCCGGCUCCACACUGACGCUGAGGCACGAAAGCGUGGGUAUCGAACAGGAUUAGAUACCCGGGUAA
This 446-nucleotide ribosomal RNA is filed under the name uncultured bacterium. RNAcentral describes it as "bacterial SSU rRNA". It matches the Rfam family "Bacterial small subunit ribosomal RNA", at positions 329 to 793 of the family's 1533-position model. The record is from RNAcentral.